UACGUAGGUGACAAGCGUUGUCCGGAUUUACUGGGCGUAAAGAGCGCGCAGGCGGUCGUUCAAGUCGAGUGUGAAAGCCCCCGGCUCAACUGGGGAGGGUCAUUCGAUACUGAUCGACUCGAAGGCAGGAGAGGGUAGUGGAAUUCCCGGUGUAGUGGUGAAAUGCGCAGAUAUCAGGAGGAACACCAAUGGCGAAGGCAGCACUCUGGGACGUGACUGACGCUGAGACGCGAAAGCGUGGGGAGCAAACGGG
RNAcentral lists this ribosomal RNA (253 nucleotides) under uncultured bacterium. RNAcentral describes it as "partial 16S ribosomal RNA". It matches the Rfam family "Bacterial small subunit ribosomal RNA", at positions 524 to 776 of the family's 1533-position model. The record is from RNAcentral.